GCCAGGUAUGGUGUUGCAUACCUGUAUUCCCAGCUACUCGGGAGGCUGAGGUGGGAGGAUCACUUGAGCCCAGAAGUUCAAGGCUGUAGUGAGCUGUGAUCAUGCCACUGCACUCCAGUCUGGGUGACAGAGCAUGAUCCUGCCUCUU
This 148-nucleotide non-coding RNA is filed under the name Gorilla gorilla gorilla (western lowland gorilla). Lineage: Eukaryota; Metazoa; Chordata; Mammalia; Primates; Hominidae. The record is from Rfam by way of RNAcentral.